This is a long non-coding RNA of Ailuropoda melanoleuca (giant panda), 567 nucleotides long. RefSeq lists it as uncharacterized. NCBI's taxonomy places the organism in Eukaryota, Metazoa, Chordata, Mammalia, Carnivora, Ursidae. The transcript has 3 exons. The record is from RefSeq and is a predicted model, not a curated record.
CCUGCGCGCGGGGUGUCACUGCUCCCUCGGAUCUCCGGACAGCGGAGGGGCACACAGGCCGGCCGCCUCGCCUACCCUACCCCCAACGCAAUGCGCCUCCGCCCGAAAGCCCCCCCGCCGGGGACCCAGGGUCCUGAGACACACACGCCGAGACGCCCGCCGCCCCGGAGGCCCACAGGCACCUCUACCGAACCCGUACAGCGGGGACACACGCGGGGCCCCGCCAUCUCCCGGACCGCGCACCUCAGAGCGGGCGUGAGCGAGGUAGGCUCCACGCCCAGUGUAGAAUCCAACACGGACUCAAUCCCACAACCCUGAAAUCAUGACCUGAGCCAAAAUCAAGAGUCGGAUGCUUAACCAACUGAGCCACCCAGGUAACCCAGAACACAUGAAUUCUUACAUUACCCCUAUCAGGCAAGACAACUACAUCAUCACAGGAAAACUCAAGGUCCACCCAAUUAAAAAAAAGAAAAGAAGAUAUCUCAUUCAUGGGGCGCCUGGUUGGCUCAGUCAUUAAGCAUCUGCCUUCAGCUCAGGGCAUGAUCCCAGCAUUCUGGGAUCGAGCCC